This is a long non-coding RNA of Nycticebus coucang (slow loris), 1392 nucleotides long. RefSeq lists it as uncharacterized. The record is from RefSeq and is a predicted model, not a curated record. Lineage: Eukaryota; Metazoa; Chordata; Mammalia; Primates; Lorisidae. The transcript is spliced from 3 exons.
GGAAAGGGCCUUGAGUCACACUGUGGGAGGUAGAUUCUAGAAGAAGGACGUUGAGGAAAUGAGAAGCCACAGUAAUUCUAGACUCCCCUGGAGAAUGAUACUUGUAUGGCCCGCCAGAAAGGGAGAGGAAGCUGCUCAGGGCUCUCACAGCCACAGGCCCUGGGAUGCUACCCGGCUGGCUGAGGGACAGGAGCUCAGAACCCUGUGCCUAUCCAGCUGGAAAGCUCUGAUCUGAAAGAAAUCACAGGAAACUUGGUGACUUGCUUGAAUUUCAUAGUAUAAGAAGGACCUAAGCAGAACAACGGAACAUUACCCAUCUCUUGAAAGAAUAGUUACGAAAACUUCUCCUAUACACAGAAAACACUCAUUUUGGAUACACGGCUAGAAAGGUCCACACCUAAGGGAAGGAGAACCUGGACUGGGCCGAGUGAAGGGCGAAGGGUGGGAAGGAGGAGGAGGGAGGGACAGGGAGCCCUGGCACUCAGGUGAUUUCCAUAUACUGGGGAGUCAUGGCCAGCAACCUGUCCAUCCAGUCUGGCCACAGGCUCCGCCCAUCACACCACCAGCCUGGACCGCCCAGCCUUGGGUCAGUGGCCUGACCUCACAGCUGCGCUCCCUCACCUCCCAGAAUUCCAGAGGGGAGCUGUCAACCCUAAGGAAACAAGUCUGGUCUCUUUGGCCCCAAACCGCACACCCAGACCUAUUCAUAGUGAGAUUGCACAACCAGCUGGAGGCCAGCCCAGCUGGGCAUGGGAGAGCAGCACGCUCCGGAGCCAGGUUCUGGCCCCCAGGCACCCCAGGGCGAGGCUGUGCCCAUGGCUCUGGGGCCUCCAGGGUUUCACUGGCUCCCCCCAAGUGGGAGAACUUGUUCUUCUUAAGGAGACACUAACACCUUCCCACUGUCCCACCAUGCAGGCUGGCACAGGGGUUGGGGGCUCUGGUUAGUGCACUCAGAAAUCAGGUGGCAGGCUUUUAUAAAAGAGGAAGCUGAGUCACCGGGUAAGCGCCUUACGUCUGUGUGGGCAGCUGGUGACAUGGGGGAGAGAGAAGAAAUCAGCUUGGGAAUGGGGCAGACCUGGAACUGAACCAGCUGAACAAUGAUGUGGGAGUCGGUUCACUUCUCAGGUCUGUAUUCUUGUUUGUGAAAUGGAAACAAGGUUGGCUGUCUGCAGAGGUGGGAGGAUCACGAGCAAGCUGCCCAGGAGGCAUCCACAGCACACUUCAAGUCAGGAGCCAGCUCCAUCAAGGUCCUCCCCUCUCCAGACACAUCUCCCUGGCCCACACUCCGUGGGUGGUGGUUUUUUUCUUUCUUUUUUUUAUCAUAUAAAAACAUACAACAAAAUUAAUCUGAUAUUAGUGAACCCCAUCAGUAUAAUUAGAUUGCAGCAUGGU